Perca fluviatilis (European perch) is the source of this 231-nucleotide long non-coding RNA. RefSeq lists it as uncharacterized. The record is from RefSeq and is a predicted model, not a curated record. The transcript is spliced from 3 exons. Lineage: Eukaryota; Metazoa; Chordata; Actinopteri; Perciformes; Percidae.
CUGUCUUCUGCUUGCCGUACUGACCCCAGAGGAGUAUUAUCUUUCAAGACGACAUCUCUCUCUGUUAUGAGAGGAGCAGCUAUGAGUUUAACUGCAGCAGUGAGGGGAUUUGUUUUCUUCCUUCUCUCUGUAUCAGUGAUACAGGGUCAGGAUUACUGGGGAGUGACUUACACCUCUACUCAGAUCUGUGCCUUCAAGAGAUCAACCGUGGACAUACCGUGCACCUACAGA